UGAGUGUAUAUAUAGUUUUAUUGGUGCGAUACAGGAUGAUACAAACCAAAUAUUCACCGUUUACACAAAAACAUUAGAGGCUACAGUCUGUUCAGAGAGCAUGUAGAUCCAUCGGUCAUCAUGAAACAGCGAGGAAGAAACCAGAUAACAUACAAACACGCACUGACCGCAUGUUCACACUCCAACACACAUGUACACACACGCCGACAGCCCUGUAAGAAGCGUGACAUACAAAAAGCUGUAGAAAAAUACUCUUAAAAAACCAAACACACAAAACAGCAGCAGCAGCAGCGGCCACUUGGAAUGUUCCAGAUGUCAGUCCGACCUCGACGUAGAAGAAGCUACAUGGGCAGUUUGUUGGACAACUAACCGGCUGUUUCAUUUUCAAGGUGACUGGAAGAAACCUACAGAACCUGGGGAGGACUGAGACGGAGGGAAAUGUUGAAGGGAUUCUGGAGAAAAACAACAAAAUCUGUGGUAUAUGAGGCCAAAAGUCACAUGUAGUGGUGUUUAUGUGAUCAAAUAUGAGAGGACUAGUAGAGUUUUGUUAAAUCUAGUCUGAAACCAGCCAAAACUAGUUCGAAACUAGUCUGAAACCAGUCCAAAACUAGAUCUAAACUAGUCUGAAACCAGCCAAAACUAGUUCGAAACUAGUCUGAAACCAGUCAAAACUAGAUCUAAACUAGUCCAAAAUUUGUCCAAAACUAGAUCUAAACUAGUUCUAAACUAGUCUGAAACCAGGUGCAGGCAGAAACUUUCCUUCAGAAUCUGUCCAGCGACUCGUGGACAUGUGGACAUGCAGGACUUUGUAAUUUGUCAGUAAACUUAUUUAAAAGUCAUCUUAUAUUUAGACAUGGUGGAUUAUUAUAGGAUGCACUGUUUUAGAGGGUGGGAAGAUGUCUGCAUUAUUACAAACCAACAGCAACUCUUCUAAACUUCUAAUUUCACAUAUUUGGCGUUUAUGAGCUCCUAAUAAGUCUGUCGUCCAUACACCAGGGGGCGCUGCUGCACAGCAAGAGGUUAAACUUAUGUGAAUAAAGAACUCUUAUUUUCUGUUUUUUUGUGCAAACUAAUUUGUAAUUUGUGCCUCUUUUAUCUACCCAAACCAAAAGGAGUGCAGAGAUUAGCGUCAGUCUGAAGAGUGGUGGUCAUUAAAGCUACGACCACGGGCGUGUCCUGGUGGCCAGUUGUGAUAUUACAACAGAAUCAAAGCAUCGCUGCUCAAAAAGGAGAGGACUCAGCUGACAGAACGACCAAGAGGACGCUUCCUACGACUCAAAGUAUUAUAGAGGGAAACUGCAUAGAGAGGGACGACUCAAGCUGGUAACUGAAACUACCUGGUGAGGAGAGACUCAAAGCGAUUAUGGUGCUGAAACUGCCUGGGGAGGAAUUACUCAAGAUAUUAAUGGUGGUGAAACCGACAUAAGAUGGACGAUUUAAGGUGUUUGUAUGUUAAAACUGCCUGGGGAAGGAUGAUUCAAGGUGUUGCUUGUGGUGAAAAUACCUGGGGAGGGACGAUGUAUGGUGUUAAUGGUGGUUAAACUGCCUGGAGAGGAAUUACUAGGUAGGAGGAAUUACUCAAGGUGUUAAUGGAGGUGAAACCAAUUAAAGAUGGAUGAUUUCAGGUGUUUGUAUGUUAAAACUGCCUGGUUAGGGAUGACUCAAGGUGUUUGUGUGUUAAAACUGCCUAAGGAGGGAUGAUUUAAGGUGUUAAUGGAGGUGAAACCAACUUAAGAUGGAUGAUUUAAGGUAUUUGCAUAUUAAAACUACCUGGGGAGGGGAUGACUCAAGGUUUUGCUUGUGGUUAAACUGCCUGGGAGGGAUUACUCAGGAUGCUAAUGGCGGUGAAACGCACUUAAAAUGGACAAUUCAAGGUAUUUGUAUGUUAAAACUGCCUGGGGAGGGAUGAUUCAAGGUGUUGUUUGUGGUGAAAAUACCUGGGGAGGGACGAUGUAUGGUGCUAAUGCUGGGUGAACUGCCUGAGGAGGGAUUACUCAAGGUGUUAGUAUUAUAAAACUACCUGAGGAGGGAUGAGUUAAGGUGUUGCUUGUUGUUAAACUGCCUGGGGAGGAAGGAUUUAUGGUGUUAAUGGUGGUUAAACUACCUGGGGAGGGAUGAUUCAAGACUCAAGAUCAUUAAUUCAAGAGUCACGUGACUAUGCAAAGAAGUUGAGGUUUCCCUAAAAUGGUCCAAACUUCUGCAGCCAUUUUUUUUUACUACUAGCUAACUUUAGCUACAACAUCUAGCCAGUGAACUCUGCUACUGUUAAAACAGCUGGACGUCAUUGGCUUCUAAAUACAUGGCAAAAGCUAACGUAGCUUGGUGCUCCUGCUAUUAAAACACAUUAAUACAUGUUGUAUAUUGUCAGUGUGCUACAUUUGUGCUUCAUAUUCUAGCUGGCGCUAAUUUGGCAGUUAAUUGUUUGUGUUAGUGAGCCCGCGAGCUAACUAAAACUACAACGAGGUAAGGCUAAUAUAUGUUAGCAUCCACAUUAGCGAUAUGCUACAGUUAUAAGCAGGUGUUUGAAUAUUUCUGUUUUUGCUGUGUGUUUUGACUUUACCUACUAUUUAAAUUCAGGAAUAAAUCUUUAAAUACUUUAACAUGUCGCUGGUAUUUAAUUUUAAGUGCUGAUAUUCAGUAUUUGUUCAAACUUCAGAUUUGAUCUGCGGCUAAUGAGCUGUAGUACUAAACAAAUACAGUAAAAAUGACAGCGUCAGUUCUAAAGCACUAUUACCUCCUAAUGCACUAUCAAAGGUUAACAUGGAUUAUCUGGGGACUCUAAGGGACUGCAGUCUGUCGGAUAUAGAAUCAAACUGAAGACAGUGUUGACCAUUAAAGUUGCCCAAAUCAGUUGCUAGUGUGUUGAGAAGCAAAGAAAAUGGUCGUUCUCGCUGACAUUCACACUCAUGCACACGUACAGUACGACAUUGUACAGGUAACAAGUUUUACUGCUAACUUUAAGUACAGGCACUAUAGAGUGAAGCAUUGUGGGAGGUUGAGUGCUCAGCUGGUCUGGUUUUAGCUAGCAGCUUUUCCAUCAUUGUGAAGAUGUCUGGUUUAUUUUACAGCCACAUUUCUGGAAACGUUCCUCAUAACUUCCUGAAAGCGAGCUGCUGUUCAGCCCUAAAAGAAGAAAUAUGAACCGACUCAGUUUGGUGCUAAACUCCAACAGACAUCAGAGUUUCCUAGAACAGCUAAAGAUGUCGGUUCUUGAUCAGUAAAUAUGAAUCAUAAACUACUUACUGGAGCGUCUCUGAUUAGCACCACAGUAAGAUGUCAUUUACAGCUAAGUUUCUGGAAACUUUCAGGAAGGUUUCAAGGAAAUUAGCAGGAAAAUAUGGGACUGUUUCAAUGAGAAUCAAAAGUUUAACUGCUCAGCUUCAGAAACAGAUGUUUGUCCUGUUGUCCCUGUUUCCAGGGAGUGUUUCCGUUAGCACAGAGUUUUAACACAACAAUAAACUGAAACGCUGUUCAUAACGACAGGAAAUCUUCAUGUGAACGCAAAGAAAGUUGGGUUUAACUGUGAUGUUUAACCACCACUGAUGCUUUUUAAACUGUCAGAGGUUUACUGGAGGCUCCUCAGGGUUUAAAGUGAAUAUGCUUCAGCUGAGGUUCAACAUGAUGCUUUUCUGGUGUAAAUUCACUGAAGUUUGAAAGCUGCUGUGAGUCCUGGACUGAGAUCAGGUUUGAAAUAAAUGUUAGACACCAUUUAUCAUAAUUUAUGAUCAAUUCAAAACUAAAAAAAUUGUAGAAUCUUUUUUCUCUUUGUUUUAACACCAAAUUUUGAAUAUUUUGAAAAAAGACAGAAGGAGUUCCGACUUAUUCUUGAAAUCCUCAAUGUGCCAGACAGUUCAGUUUUGGAAAACUAGUCUAAAACCAGUCAAAACUAUUCUAAAACUAGUCUAAAACCAGUCAAAACUAGUCUAAAUCCAAUCAAAACUAGUCUUAAACCAACUAAAACGAGUCUUAAACCAGUCAAAG
This is a long non-coding RNA of Amphiprion ocellaris (clown anemonefish), 3981 nucleotides long. NCBI's taxonomy places the organism in Eukaryota, Metazoa, Chordata, Actinopteri, Pomacentridae. The record is from Ensembl.